AUUGAACGCUGGCGGCAGGCUUAACACAUGCAUGUCGAGCGGGGGAAGGUAGCUUGCUACCGGACCUAGCGGCGGACGGGUGAGUAAUGCUUAGGAAUCUGCCUAUUAGUGGGGGACAACAUCUCGAAAGGGAUGCUAAUACCGCAUACGUCCUACGAGAGAAAGCAGGGGAUCUUCGGACCUUGCGCUAAUAGCUGAGCCUAAGUCGGAUUAGCUAGUUGGUGGGGUAAAGGCCUACCAAGGCGACGAUCUGUAGCGGGUCUGAGAGGAUGAUCCGCCACACUGGGACUGAGACACGGCCCAGACUCCUACGGGAGGCAGCAGUGGGGAAUAUUGGACAAUGGGGGGAACCCUGAUCCAGCCAUGCCGCGUGUGUGAAGAAGGCCUUAUGGUUGUAAAGCACUUUAAGCGAGGAGGAGGCUACUUUAGUUAAUACCUAGAGAUAGUGGACGUUACUCGCAGAAUAAGCACCGGCUAACUCUGUGCCAGCAGCCGCCGUAA
This 501-nucleotide ribosomal RNA is filed under the name uncultured bacterium. RNAcentral's name for it is "partial 16S ribosomal RNA". It matches the Rfam family "Bacterial small subunit ribosomal RNA", at positions 30 to 523 of the family's 1533-position model. The record is from RNAcentral.